GAUUGCGACAAUUUGUAGAAUAUAAAAUGUAUUUUUAUUUCAUCAUUGACAUAGUGUUAUAAGACGUUUAUAAUCGUUCACCAAUGUUCUUGCAUUUACCAAGAGAAUCCUACGUAAAGUUACGCAUAUACUUGCUAUUUCCUUCUCUCGAAAUUAAUCCAGUAUCUAGGCACCGUAUGAUUUUUUACAGUAAUAAACGCUUUCGAAUUGUUUGAAAAGAUCACUGCUUUAAAUAUCAACAUUAUGUACAUAGUUUUCCGAUUCGACAGAAUUUUCCUGUAAUAAUUGAUUCUUCCAUUUUCGCUCGACACACAAAUUUCAACCUUACGAUAUCCAGUCAAACAUAUACGUACUAACUAAUAUUGUUAAAUACAAUAUGAAUGUUUAUAUAGGCUCAAGAUAGAGUAAGAUCGAUAGUUUGAAUCCGAUAUUGUUGUUUACCAGUCGAAUACGUAUUUUAUCACGGAAGCCCGCGGAUUUUCCACACAGGCUACCCACAACCAAGAGAAAAAAUUACGUUCGGAACCUUCGUCCCUCUGCUACAUUAAACCAAUUAUUUGAACUUUUGUCAAUUUAGUAACACCUUAAAUCACUACUCAAAGCUCGUAUUCGCAAAGAAGUGUAGUAUCCUUACUUAUUUUUGUUUUGUUUUGUAUAUCUAUAAAUACUUAUGUCACAUAUUUUCUAAAUAUCUUCCUCAGAUAACGAAAAAGUUCUUCAUACGGUCUGGUUUCUAAGGUCAAAUAUCGGGCACAGUUUACUGGACGUUACACGGGGGCCCAAGUAGCAAGGAGAUCCCAAGGAACUAUGUGUAUGCGAUAAGAAUGUAUAAAAGAUAACACACCAGAUACUAAUGCACACAUCGGUUCAACCAAGUGAAUGAAUUAUCCAGCUAUCCAGUGUAGCCGCGGAAUCUAAGAAGCAAGACCAUUGAGAUACGUGAAAAAUACAACGCGCCCUACACGACACAUGGUAUCUUCUGUCCGCGCGCGAUUUAAUAUAAAAAGUG
This is a long non-coding RNA of Harpegnathos saltator (Jerdon's jumping ant), 1009 nucleotides long. RefSeq lists it as uncharacterized. The record is from RefSeq and is a predicted model, not a curated record. The transcript is spliced from 3 exons. NCBI's taxonomy places the organism in Eukaryota, Metazoa, Arthropoda, Insecta, Hymenoptera, Formicidae.